RNAcentral lists this ribosomal RNA (119 nucleotides) under Pteropus alecto (black flying fox). Lineage: Eukaryota; Metazoa; Chordata; Mammalia; Chiroptera; Pteropodidae. The record is from RNAcentral.
GUCCAUGGCCAUACCACCCUGAACAAGCCCGAUCCUGUCUGAUCUCGGAAGCUAAGCAGGGUCGAGCCUGGUUAGUACUUGGAUGGGAGACCACCUAGGAAGACCAGGUGCUGUAGACG